This is a long non-coding RNA of Sapajus apella (tufted capuchin), 1077 nucleotides long. RefSeq lists it as uncharacterized. The record is from RefSeq and is a predicted model, not a curated record. The transcript has 2 exons. Lineage: Eukaryota; Metazoa; Chordata; Mammalia; Primates; Cebidae.
AUUAUAUGGCAAAUGAUAGGUUUGAUAAUAUUCCAUAGUAUGACUUGUUCUAGAAUCUGCUUUCAUUUUCCCUGGCAGCCUCAUCUCCUUCCAGAACUGAAUCAGCCAGCAUCUCUAGGGCUGAGGCUCAGAAAUCUGCAGCGUUCACAAGCUCUCUCAUGUGAUUCCACUGCAUAGUCCGGACACCAGGGAUAAAACGAUGAACAGCACAGUCCCUUUGCUGUAUAGAUAAUAUUUUAGAGUUCUGUUUAUAAUAGGAUUUUGUUUACAAUAAUUACUUUUCUGACUACAAAAGAAAUACAUGCUUACUGCACAAAGCUUAGAAAAUACAGAAAGUCCAAAGAUGAAUACAAAACUGUAUCAUUCAAUGAUAAAGUUAAUAUUGCAUACUGCUAUGGUUUGAAUGUGACAAAGUUCAUGUGUUAGAAACUUAAUCCCCAAUGCAAAAGUGUUGAGAGGUGGGACCUUUAAGAGGUGAUUAGGUCACAAGGGCAUGAAUGGAUUAAUGCUGUUAUCUCGGGAGUAGGUUCCUAAUAAAAGGAUGGGUUCGGUCCCCUUCUCCCCCAUCUCUCCCCUGCUCUCUUGCCCUUCAAGCCUUCCGCCAUGUGAAGAUGUAGCAAGACGCCCUCGCUAGAUGUGGGCCCCUUAACUUUAGACUUCUCAGUUUCCAGAACGUGCCGCUUUCUAGAACCAACUCUGAGGACUUUAACUGAGGCUGAGUGACACACAAGAGGAGCAGCAGCCCUAAAGGAAGCCCGCCUACCCUGGAGGAUGCCUUCCACUUCAGAUAGGCCAGAAAGCCAGUCCCUGCCUAAGCACACCACAGGAGAACCCUGUAGUCCUCCACAGAGAAGGUGUCUGUCAAGCAAGAAGGUGACUGUGAACCCAGAACGUUCUGUUUGAUUCUGGCCUCUCCCCAUGCUUCUCAAUGUGGAUUCUAACUUGCAGUGACAUCAGGAACAAAGCCAUUACAUUCUCUCUGUACCUUUGCUGGGUCCUUUUAAAUAAAGCAGGACAAAACAGAAAGGGACUUCACAUAGUUUAUGAAGAAAAGUUCAAAAAAAAAAAAAGUGAAAA